GGGAAGGUGGCUCAGUGGUAGAGCACUUGCCUUGCAUGCCUGAGGCCCUGGGUUCAAUUCCUCAGCUACCACA
Dipodomys ordii (Ord's kangaroo rat) is the source of this 73-nucleotide non-coding RNA. The record is from Rfam. NCBI's taxonomy places the organism in Eukaryota, Metazoa, Chordata, Mammalia, Rodentia, Heteromyidae.